UACGGGGGGGGUAAGCGUUGUUCGGAAUUACUGGGCGUAAAGGGCUCGUAGGCGGCCAACUAAGUCAGACGUGAAAUCCCUCAGCUUAACUGGGGAACUGCGUGUGAUACUGGAUGGCUUGGAUUUGGGAGAGGGAUGCGGAAUUCCAGGUGUAGCGGUGAAAUGCGUAGAUAUCUGGAGGAACACCGGUGGCGAAGGCGGCAUCCUGGACCAAUAUUGACGCUGAGGAGCGAAAGCCAGGGGAGCAAACGGG
Molecule: ribosomal RNA, 253 nt
Filed under: uncultured bacterium
Lineage: Bacteria
Description: partial 16S ribosomal RNA
Rfam family: Bacterial small subunit ribosomal RNA
Source: RNAcentral